UGGGUGAUUAAAACACUGUCAGCAGAGGCCAAACAGGGAUCCAUAGACAAGACAAAUGUUUAUACAGCUGAUCCCUCAUCGCUGGGGAAAAACGCAGAACCUCCGCAUUGUGUUUGCUCAAUUUGAAGGGUAAUGGAAAUGCAGCUAAUGUCAACAUGGACAUUUGUGACGAGAGCCAAGAAGUGUCUUGGAAUCAGAAACCAUAAAUAGUAAAAAAAAAAAAAAAAAUUACAAAUAAAUAAAAACGCCAAAAUUGAUGCUCGGAAAUCUCACAUGCUACUGUACUCAGAAAGGCCCACACUGAGAUGAUCAGGAUGGCUUUUGUGGUGCUAAAUCGAGAGGAAAAGUGGAUCGGCUGGCAACCGAGAAAAGGCCUGGUCUGGUUUUGUUUGAUAGUUUGGACUGAUAUAUAUUUUCUCAGCGUGAGUAUACUCGGGCUUUCAUUGUCAGAGGCAGAGCAAUCAGAAAAAGACGACUGACCCACUGAGAACUGCAGGUAAGCGGGACGCAAUAACCCUCAAAAUAAAGCUUGACGCCCGCACGUCUCCUUUGAAUAUAGAACGGUAACUGGACUCUAGUUCAACUCUGUGGAAAUGAAAAUGAAACUACAGGGAUAAAGACCUGCUCCCUUAGAAUGGCCAACAAAUUGCGGUACGUCACAUGUCCACCAAUCGGUCAGGUAAGGUGUGGAAAACGGAGAUGUCUUUUUCCUUCAAAGAACCCACUGCCGCAAUUACCACUGCAGUUUAGAGAAUUAAUGGCGACUUCAUAAGAGGCAAGGGAUUUUAAAAGGAGAAAAUUAUAUACUCAGAGCGCAUAAGCUAUAAAUGCAUUAAAAUUACUUUCCCAUAAAUUACUUGUGUCAUCAUUACAAAUGGUUUCAU
This is a long non-coding RNA of Sinocyclocheilus anshuiensis, 884 nucleotides long. RefSeq lists it as uncharacterized. The record is from RefSeq and is a predicted model, not a curated record. Lineage: Eukaryota; Metazoa; Chordata; Actinopteri; Cypriniformes; Cyprinidae. The transcript has 4 exons.